ACGAAGGGGGCUAGCGUUGUUCGGAAUUACUGGGCGUAAAGCGCACGUAGGCGGAUUUUUAAGUCAGGUGUGAAAUCCCGGGGCUCAACCUCGGAACUGCAUUUGAAACUGGAAGUCUUGAGACCAGGAGAGGUUAGCGGAAUACCGAGUGUAGAGGUGAAAUUCGUAGAUAUUCGGUGGAACACCAGUGGCGAAGGCGGCUAACUGGACUGGUACUGACGCUGAGGUGCGAAAGUGUGGGGAGCAAACAGGAUUAGAUACCCUGGUAGUCCACACCGUAAACGAUGAGAGCUAGUUGUUGGCAGGCAUGCCUGUCGGUGACGCAGCUAACGCAUUAAGCUCUCCGCCUGGGGAGUACGGCCGCAAGGUUA
RNAcentral lists this ribosomal RNA (371 nucleotides) under uncultured bacterium. RNAcentral's name for it is "bacterial SSU rRNA". It matches the Rfam family "Bacterial small subunit ribosomal RNA", at positions 525 to 896 of the family's 1533-position model. The record is from RNAcentral.